CUUGCCCCCGUCUCCGGCAGCCAAUAUGGCGGCUCCCUGUGUGUCUUGCGGUGCAGCGGCUUCCUACCGGCUUUUUCUCGGAGGUAGGGUUAGCCUCGCCCGGAGACAAGGCGUCUGGAAAGCAGCGGCUGCUGAGUUGCAGACAGGUGCUGGAUUCCAGAUACUAAGGCUAAGGCACACCACAGGUGUAACAACAAAGAAAAAUGUUGCAGCCUUAAGACGUGAAACUUACACAGUGGAUUUUAUUAAAAAGCAGAUUGAAGAGUUCAACAUAGGAAAGAGACAUUUAGCCAACAUGAUGGGAGAAGAUCCAGAAACUUUUACUCAAGAGGAUAUUGACAUGGUGGUGGGGACAGUUACUGUGGACCUGGACUGAAGGCCCUGCAAAGUCUGGCUGGAGUGUUCCCUGAAGGGCAUGUUGCAGACAAGCCUCUGUCUUCAGGAGCUCUGGAGGAUGACCUUGUUCCUUCAGAGAGCUGUUGCUUACCUUUUUCCAAGUGGUUUGUUUGAGAAGCAAGCCAGGCCAAUAAUGAAGCAUCCUGAACAGAUUUUUC
This is a non-coding RNA of Leptonychotes weddellii (Weddell seal), 554 nucleotides long. Lineage: Eukaryota; Metazoa; Chordata; Mammalia; Carnivora; Phocidae. The record is from RefSeq and is a predicted model, not a curated record.